Long non-coding RNA from Callithrix jacchus (white-tufted-ear marmoset), 1152 nucleotides. Lineage: Eukaryota; Metazoa; Chordata; Mammalia; Primates; Cebidae. The record is from Ensembl.
UUUAAGGAUUUUAUAAAACAUGUGUUUUCAUGUAUUAAAAAGUUAUUGUGUUUAUUUUGCUAAAUAGUAUAAAUAUCUUAAAUUUGGAUUAUUCUGUGUAUGGGUUAUUGAUACGGUUUGGCUGUGCUCCCACCCAAAUCUUAUCUUGCAGUUCCCAUAAUCCCCACGUCAUGGAAGACAUCAGGUGGAAAUAAUUAAAUAAUGGGGAUGGUUUCCCCAUCUGGCUCUCACAAUAGUGAGUUUUUACGAGAUGUGAUGGUUUUAUAAGGGACUUUUUCCUUCACUGGGCAGUCAUUCUCUCUCCUGCCACCCUGUGAAGAGGUGCCUUCUGCCAUGACAGUAAGUUUCCUGAGGCCUGCCCAGCCAUGCAGAACUGCUCAUAGGUGGAAGAAACUUGCCUUGCCCAACCCAGAUGAGACUUUGGAUUGGAUUUUGAGUUGAUGAUGGAAUGAGUUAAGACUUUGGGGAACUGAUGGAAAGACACAAUUGUGUUUUAAAUGGUAAAGAUGUGAAAUUUGGAAGGAGCCAGGGUAGAAUGAUAUGGUUUCCCUGUGUCCCCACCCAAAUCUAAUAUUGCAUUGUAGUUCCCAUAAUCCCCAAGUGUUGUGGGAGGCAACAGGUGGAGAUAACUGAGCCACAUGGAUAGUUUUCCCCCUCCUAUUCUGGUGAUACUGAGUUCGUUUUCAUGAGAUCUGAUGGUUUUAUAAGGGACUUUCCCCUUCGCUGGGCACUCAUUCUCUUUCCUGCCACCUGGGAACAGGUCCCUCUGUCGUAAUUGUAAGUUUCCUGAGGCCUCCCCAGCCAUGCAGAACUCUGAAUCAAUUAAACCUUUUUUCUUUAUGAAUUACCCUGUCUUGGGUAUUUCUUCAUAGCAGCAUGAGAAUGGACUAAUACAACAAAUAUGUGGACUGUUUUCAGUUUAAGAUAUAAUGAUAAAAGUUCUGUGGACAAUUGUGCACAAGACUUUUUGUAGACUUAUGCUCUUAUUUUUAACGGGUGAAGACCUCAGAACAGAAUUAUUGGAUUAGAGAAAAGUUGUAAAUCUUCCAGAGUUAUCCAAAGAGCUUACAUUUGUAUGAACAAUUGAGGAGGGUUUCUGAUUUCUCUUCAUCCUCACCAACGCUUGUCUAUGUCAAUCCUUUUUAUUUUGGC